AAGAAGAAAUAAUGCCACAUAAGCACCACAUCAAUAUUUUUGUAGAUUUUAAUGCCACAUAAGUGCCAUAUAAGCACCGGAUAUUGUCACAUCGAAUUUUUGAUAAGAGAAAAUUAUCAGAAUCGCACCUGAGGGCAAUAUUAAAUCGGUUCAGAUAGUUGGAGGACUAAUAUUUAGGAUUUUAUAGUUCAUGAAUCAUUUAAGAAAAUCUGACUUAGUUCAUAAUUUAUCCUUAAUUCUACAGCUUGUCUUCUUGUAAGUCCUUUGGUUAGUGGAUCUAC
This 281-nucleotide long non-coding RNA is filed under the name Elaeis guineensis (African oil palm). RNAcentral's name for it is "long non-coding RNA (EGUI_LNC004701)". Lineage: Eukaryota; Viridiplantae; Streptophyta; Magnoliopsida; Arecales; Arecaceae. The record is from RNAcentral.